Molecule: transfer RNA, 74 nt
Filed under: Acidobacteriota bacterium
Lineage: Bacteria; Pseudomonadati; Acidobacteriota
Description: Acidobacteria bacterium tRNA-Gln
Rfam family: tRNA
About the family: Transfer RNA (tRNA) molecules are approximately 80 nucleotides in length. Their secondary structure includes four short double-helical elements and three loops (D, anti-codon, and T loops).
Source: RNAcentral
UGGGGGAUGGUGUAAUGGCAACACUCAUGGCUCUGGACCAUGCUAUCGGGGUUCGAAUCCCUGUCCCCCAGCCA